UCAGAGUCACUCAACCACUGAGCCACACAUCCCCAGCCCAACUUUGUAUUUUACUUAAAGACAGAGUCUCACUGAGUUGCUUGGCACCUUGCUUUUGUUGAGGCUGGCUUUGAACUUGCAAUCCUCCUGCCUCAGCUUUCUGAGCCUCUGGGAUUACAGGUGUGUACCACUGCGUCUGGCUUGUUUAAGGUUUUAAUUCCUAUAAAAUCCACUCUAUCUUUUUGCUUUUUCUUUUAUAUUUAAUGCUUUCUGUGUCCUGUCAAAGGAAUUUUUGCUGAUUGUAAAAUAUGCCCUUGGGGUUUCCUCAAUGUCUAGGUCUACAUAGGUCCUUAGGGAAAUAUGAAUUAAAACCAAUGAAUUAUAGCUACCCAGUCACUAGAAUGGCUAAAUUAAAAAGACUGAUAAUACUAAGUGCACUGAGGAUGUGGAACAAGUAGAAUCAACAUAUACUGCUUGUGGGAAUAUGAAAUGACAAGGCCACUUUGGGAAUUGGUCUGGCAGUUUCUUACUUAAGUAAAAACACAGCUCACUUGUGACUUAGUACUUAAUACUUUCAGACUUUACCCAACAGAAAUGAAGAUAAUUGCCCACAAAAAGAUUUAUAUACAAAUGAAUGCUCACAGCCAACCAUUCAAAUGCCCAUCAAUAAAAGAGUACACAAACACUGGUUUAUCUGUACAAUGGACUAUUACUCAGCAAUCAAAAGAUACAAAUUGCUGAUAUACACAAAUGAUAUGAAUUUUUCCCAAAAUGUUGAGCUGGAAACGUUUUCCACAAGAGUACCUGCUAUAUGAGUCCAUUUACAUCAAAUUCCAGAGUAGAUAAAAUUCAUCCGUGAUGAAAUAAAUCAAAGCAGUCUGCUACAGUCUGAAUGUCUAUGUGCCCUACACAGGAGGUGAUUAGGCCAUGAGAACAGAACCCUAUAAUUGAGAUUAGAGGCCUUUAUCCCCAAAAGCUGCCGUGCCUCUUCCACCAUUUGAGGACACAACAAGAAAGCAC
This 999-nucleotide long non-coding RNA is filed under the name Marmota monax (woodchuck). The record is from RNAcentral. Lineage: Eukaryota; Metazoa; Chordata; Mammalia; Rodentia; Sciuridae.